UUGAGUCUGGCUCAGGAUGAACGUUGGCGGCGUGCCUAAUACAUGCAAGUCGAACGAAGAGCUUAGAGUAGCAAUACCCUGGAGUACUCUUAGUGGCGAACGGGUGAGUAACGCGUUGGUAACCUGCCCCAAAGAUAGGGAUAACAGUUCGAAAGGACUGCUAAUACCUUGUGUGGUCAUUUAGCUUAGACGCUUUUUGACUAAAGGAGCUUGCUCCGCUUUGGGAGGGGCCUGCGUCCCAUCAGCUAGUUGGUAGGGUAAUGGCCUACCAAGGCAAUGACGGGUAGGGGACCUGAGAGGGUGGCCCCCCACAAUGGAACUGAAACACGGUCCAUACACCUACGGGUGGCAGCAGUAGGGAAUAUUGGUAAUGUGCGAAAGCGCGAACCAGCAACGCCGCGUGUGCGAAGAAGGCCUUCGGGUUGUAAAGCACUUUUCGGGAGGAAGAGGAAGGACUGUACUCCCGGAAUAAGUCUCGGCUAACUACGUGCCAGCAGCCGCGGUAAUACGUAGGAGGCAAACGUUAUCCGGAUUUACUGGGCGUAAAGCGCGUGCAGGCUGUUCGAUAAGUUGGGCGUGAAAGCUCCCGGCUCAACUGGGAGAGGUCGUUCAAUACUGUCGGACUAGAGGAUGGUAGAGGAAGGUGGAAUUCCGGGUGUAGUGGUGAAAUGCGCAGAUAUCCGGAGGAACACCAGUGGCGAAAGCGGCCUUCUGGACCAUUCCUGACGCUCAGACGCGAAAGCUAGGGUAGCAAACGAGAUUAGAGACCCCGGUAGUCCUAGCUGUAAACGAUGUGAACCUUGGCGUCGGUGGGAUUACAUCCAUCGGUGUCGUAGCUAACGCGAUAAGUUCACCGNCUGAGGACUACGGCCGCAAGGUUAAAACUCAAAGGAAUUGACGGGGACCCGGACAACAGCGGAGCGUGUGGUU
RNAcentral lists this ribosomal RNA (930 nucleotides) under uncultured organism. RNAcentral's name for it is "bacterial SSU rRNA". It matches the Rfam family "Bacterial small subunit ribosomal RNA", at positions 13 to 946 of the family's 1533-position model. The record is from RNAcentral.